RNAcentral lists this long non-coding RNA (2178 nucleotides) under Cricetulus griseus (Chinese hamster). Its description in RNAcentral is "lncRNA (ENSCGRG00015035100.1)". The record is from RNAcentral. Lineage: Eukaryota; Metazoa; Chordata; Mammalia; Rodentia; Cricetidae.
GCCCAAUCAUUCCCUUAAAGGGGAAGGAAAAAAUAUGUUUUUCUGGGGAAAGCAUACUUUUUUUUCACUUAAGGAUUAUGCAACCUAUGUCACAUUGCAUGUCUGCUUCUCUUUAACUUCUUUUCAAAGAUGGGAGACACAGCCCCUUAUCCUGUGGAGAAGAGCUCAUCUUCCUUAAAAUGUUAUGGCUUUUUGUAUAUGCACCGUCUUACUUUCUCAUGGAUGUCUUAAGGUACCACACCACUGUAGGGGAAGCUGUAGCCACACCUGCUUAGGGGCUGGCUACAGGUCUGCCUGACCACGCAUGCGAGGGCGUGGUCAGGGUGAUGUAGAGUAAGAGACAGUCAGGGGCCAUUUUUGGUUUCAGUUUCAUUUUCGGCUUGCUGUACAGACUGCUGCCCGCUGGCUGGCUAGGUCGCUCUAUUAAUGCAGCUCUCAGUCCUCACCAAAGAAGAGUUUUCCAGUGGACAAGUUAAUACAGAGAUUCACAACUGGCUGACAAGCAAAGAAUAUCUGAUUAUGGAAUGCCUAGUUCCUAAAGAAACAUCUGUGCUAACCCAACCCCACCACCAAGGCUUAGGGACCAUCAAGGAAAACAGGGCCGGAAGUUGGGCAGAGGGACUGCACUGAAAUAUCCUGGGUAUUCAGAGGCACUCAUAGACUCACUGAAACUGUUGUUACCUGCACAAGUACCAAAUAAGAUUGACUCUGUCCUUAUUUCAUCAGGGAAGAGGGAAGAGCUCAUGAGUUCUCAUCCAUCCCUGAAGGAUUAUUGACAGUUGAUGGUGACUGGGGGAAGAAUGUCACUUUCUUCAGUGGUGUGACUACAGAUGAGCUGUUCAUGCUUCAGUGUAGGGGAAACCUUACCCAUGCCUACUAGGGACUGCCUACAGGUAUGCCUGUGAUCAGGGUGACAUAGUGAAGGUUUAAGAGUGAGGGGAAAGCACAUGAAACUCCCUUUCCUUUUCAUCAUUGGCUUGCUGUACUUACUCCUGCCCUGCCAGCUGGCUAGGUCACUCUGUAAGUAAGUCUUUUCCCUAAUAAAUACCCUUAUAUUUAACCUGACUCAGUAUUGGUAAAUUCCCACAUUAUUCUGGUGUCAGAAGCAGGAUCUUGUAAACUUAAGUCCGGUUUGGGACUGCCUGCAGGUCCCAUCUGGAUAGCGGAAUAGCCAGCCAGGGAAAGCCCCCUCUCUCCACAGGUGCUCCCUGCUGCACAGCCAACCAGCUGCAUGAAACAAGUGCAUUCCCAUUGCCGCUGAGUUGCUCAGAACAGCCCGCCCAGCUGAGAGAGUUCUACAGACCUCCCCACUGUUUUACUGCUGCAGUUUCUAGCUGUGCAUGCUCCGGACUGGCCCGGAUUGUGGCCUGCCCAUGCCCGGAGGCCUCCUGCCCUUGAGCCGAGUAGGCCUCAGGAGUAGGCCACAGCUUUCAGCAGGAUCCUCGGUGUACCCUUGCCGUGGCGGCUGUAAAGCUGCACCUCUCUCAGCAGUUGUGGCCAAAAGGCUUUACAUGCUCCCAGCUAAGUGCAGCCACCUGUGUGACCUCAGCCCCACUGCCACUGCCAUCUUGCCUAACCAGCCACUGCCCAGAGCUGUGUGGACUGGUUGACCACCUGUGUCACCUGCUGCUCAAAGGUGGUUACUGUAUCUGUAGUAGAAGCCACCAGGUAAAAUCAUGGCAGAAUAUUUAUCAUUUGCUUCAAUUGGUAAUAUCUUUGCUUCUUACGUGAAUUCAAUGUUCGAGGAGGAUGCUAAUCUGCCAAUUACCUGCCUAUAUGCAGUAAUGGCAGUUAGCUUGCUGUUACAAAUAACAUUACUAGCCAGAGGACACAGGAACAGGGACAAAGAUAACCUCACCACCUGCUUGCAGGGAAUAACAGCUUUAUGCAAUGAGGUUUUGGAGAAUAAAUUAGGUCAUGCCACAUUGUGCAGCAUGUGGAACAGAAGUUGGAUGAUAAGCUUGGCUCUAUGUCUGAUACGAUAAAGGCAGAGCUGUCUGUUACCCAAGAUGAGAUGCAGUGUAUUUAUGAUAAGAUAAACACAGAGAUGCUCCAUGUCUGAGGUGUCAGAGGCUAGGCUGUCAGAGGACUGUGAUGAACUAAAGAAUAUCUGUAGAAAACUAGAAACUCAGAUAGGCUCUGAGAUCCAAAAACUAGAUGCAAAGGUGCAAAAUACCC